UUUUGGGUAUCUUUUUUAAAAAAUAUGUCUGGUGACCUGGCCAUUCAACCAAGAUGGCUGCCACGGCUAAAAAUAGAACAUACAGGUAAAAUUCCGUUUUUGGCUUAUAACUCAAAAACCAAAGCAUUUAGUGCAAAUCUGAUGGAGUUAAAUUGUUUAUCAGGUCAAGAUCUAUCUGCCCUAAAAAUAUCAGAUGGACUGGACAACAGGUUGUCGGGUGCUGCCCUGAAUUGGUAAUUAAGGGAAGUUUAUGCCGUUUUUUGUUAUUAUCUUGAAUAUUUUUAUAGAUAGAGAUAAAGUGUAAACAGCAAUAAUGUACACCUAAAAUUAAGUCAAAAUGACCGAAAUGGUCAAUUGACCCCCUAAGGAGUUAUUGUCCUUUAUAGUCAAUUAUUAACAAUUUUCAUAAAAUUUGUAAACUUUUACUAACAUUUUCCACUGAAACUACUGGGCCAAGUUCAUUAUAGAUAGAGAUAAUUGUAAGCAGCAAGAAUGUUCAGUAAAUAGUAAGAUGUACAAACACAUCACCAUCACCAAAACACAAUUUUGUCAUGAAUCCAUCUGCUUCUUUUGUUUAAUAUUCACAUAGACUAAGGUGAGUGACACAGGCUCUUUAGAGCCUGUAGUUUUAUUAAACAUGUACAUGUAGUAGAAAUAGAAUAAAAAUGCAUUUAUUCACAAC
This 682-nucleotide long non-coding RNA is filed under the name Mytilus galloprovincialis (Mediterranean mussel). Lineage: Eukaryota; Metazoa; Mollusca; Bivalvia; Mytilida; Mytilidae. The record is from RNAcentral.